CGAAAGGAAGAAUGCACUUGAAAAUUGCUUUGAUAAAAAAAAUACAAACAUUAUGAAAACUGACGGUAGUAAGUUAAAAACCGAAACACUGCAAACGUAAGGCCAGAAACAGAUCUAUGUCCCCCGUACUCGUAAUGUGCCAACGAAUAACCACUUCUUUAAGUGAUCAAACACAGGUGUAUACGUUCUUUCACAGCUGACCGCAAGGAUAUAGACGCGUUUCAAGAACUUCAGUUUUACACUUGUAAAUACCACAGCCUUUUCCACGGCUGUUACCGCAGCCCAGCUUCACUUGAACCGGAACCGUUUUGGACCGGCUUUGACAUGUAGGUGUGACCUGACCGGUGGACUCAGGGGUUAAAGGUCACCACGACCCGUUACAUGAUCGGAAUGCGAGCGGUGUUUUCAAGUGCAGGAUGUCCUCAAUGGCGGAACAGAGGGGCGCAGAAGAUCGGAUGACCUGGUUCUUGACCUGGUUGAUUGGUGGAGAUUGCUUGUAAUAUCACUGGAUUGUCUGGUCCAGACUCGUAUAUUUACAGGCCAUGAAGCUGUAAUAAUGCUAUGUGCGGCGUUGCGUAACAAUACUCUUGCCCUGAACAAGCGUUUGGUAAACGAGGACGAAACAGAUGGAUGGAAUAAUUACUGCGUACAAUUUUGUAGCUCAAAAAACAAACAAAAAUAUAAUUUAUUAAAAUUCAUGCAAUGGACGGUUUAGUGACAACUUUGAAUUACAGGGCUCAUUAAAUCAUUAUUAUCAGCUGAUUACUCGUGUUUCGUUAGGAAUGCAGCCAGUUAAUGAGCACCGAGGAACUGUCAU
This is a long non-coding RNA of Haliotis rubra (blacklip abalone), 817 nucleotides long. RefSeq lists it as uncharacterized. The record is from RefSeq and is a predicted model, not a curated record. NCBI's taxonomy places the organism in Eukaryota, Metazoa, Mollusca, Gastropoda, Lepetellida, Haliotidae. The transcript is spliced from 3 exons.